UACUCCUACGGGAGGCAGCAGUGGGGAAUAUUGGACAAUGGGGGCAACCCUGAUCCAGCAAUGCCGCGUGUGUGAAGAAGGCCUUCGGGUUGUAAAGCACUUUCGGUGGGGACAAACAAGACGGAGCUAACAUCUCCGUCCCUGAUGGUACCCAAAGAAGAAGCACCGGCUAACUCUGUGCCAGCAGCCGCGGUAAUACAGAGGGUGCAAGCGUUAAUCGGAAUUACUGGGCGUAAAGCGUGCGUAGGUGGUUUGUUAAGUCAGGUGUGAAAUCCUCGGGCUCAACCCGGGAACUGCGCUUGAUACUGACAGACUCGAGUGUGGUAGAGGAUAGUGGAAUUCCCGGUGUAGCGGUGAAAUGCGUAGAUAUCGGGAGGAACAUCAGUGGCGAAGGCGGCUAUCUGGACCAACACUGACACUGAGGUASRAAAGCGUGGGUAGCAAACAGGAUUAGAUACCCUGGUAGUCCACGCCCUAAACGAUGGGUACUAGACGUCGGGAAGCUUGUCUUCUUGGUGUCGCGGCUAACGCAAUAAGUACCCCGCCUGGGGAGUACGGUCGCAAGAUUAAAACUCAAAUGAAUUGACG
RNAcentral lists this ribosomal RNA (588 nucleotides) under uncultured Acidithiobacillus sp. RNAcentral describes it as "bacterial SSU rRNA". It matches the Rfam family "Bacterial small subunit ribosomal RNA", at positions 334 to 915 of the family's 1533-position model. The record is from RNAcentral. Lineage: Bacteria; Pseudomonadati; Pseudomonadota; Acidithiobacillia; Acidithiobacillales; Acidithiobacillaceae.